This 86-nucleotide transfer RNA is filed under the name Myxococcus sp. AM001. RNAcentral describes it as "tRNA-Leu". It matches the Rfam family "tRNA". From Rfam's summary of the family: Transfer RNA (tRNA) molecules are approximately 80 nucleotides in length. Their secondary structure includes four short double-helical elements and three loops (D, anti-codon, and T loops). The record is from RNAcentral. Lineage: Bacteria; Pseudomonadati; Myxococcota; Myxococcia; Myxococcales; Myxococcaceae.
GCGCGAGUGGCGGAACUGGCAGACGCAGCGGACUUAAAAUCCGCUGGCCCGUAAGGGCCGUCCGGGUUCGAUCCCCGGCUCGUGCA